GAUGAACGCUGGCGGCGUGCCUAAUACAUGCAAGUCGAGCGAACAGAUGAGGAUCUUGCUCCUCUGACGUUAGCGGCGGACGGGUGAGUAACACGUGGAUAACCUACCUAUAAGACUGGGAUAACUUCGGGAAACCGGAGCUAAUACCGGAUAAUAUAUUGAACCGCAUGGUUCAAUAGUGAAAGACGGUUUUGCUGUCACUUAUAGAUGGAUCCGCGCCGCAUUAGCUAGUUGGUAAGGUAACGGCUUACCAAGGCAACGAUGCGUAGCCGACCUGAGAGGGUGAUCGGCCACACUGGAACUGAGACAUGGUCCAGACUCCUACGGGAGGCAGCAGUAGGGAAUCUUCCGCAAUGGGCGAAAGCUUGACGGAGCAACGCCGCGUGAGUGAUGAAGGUCUUCGGAUCGUAAAACUCUGUUAUUAGGGAAGAACAAAUGUGUAAGUAACUAUGCACGUCUUGACGGUACCUAAUCAGAAAGCCACGGCUAACUACGUG
RNAcentral lists this ribosomal RNA (497 nucleotides) under uncultured bacterium. RNAcentral's name for it is "partial 16S ribosomal RNA". It matches the Rfam family "Bacterial small subunit ribosomal RNA", at positions 28 to 507 of the family's 1533-position model. The record is from RNAcentral.